This 800-nucleotide ribosomal RNA is filed under the name Mammaliicoccus vitulinus. Its description in RNAcentral is "bacterial SSU rRNA". It matches the Rfam family "Bacterial small subunit ribosomal RNA", at positions 57 to 838 of the family's 1533-position model. The record is from RNAcentral. Lineage: Bacteria; Bacillati; Bacillota; Bacilli; Caryophanales; Staphylococcaceae.
GCAGUCGAGCGAACAGAUGAGAAGCUUGCUUCUCUGAUGUUAGCGGCGGACGGGUGAGUAACACGUGGGUAACCUACCUAUAAGACUGGGAUAACUCCGGGAAACCGGGGCUAAUACCUGAUAAUAUUUUGAACCGCAUGGUUCAAUAGUGAAAGACGGCUUCGGCUGUCACUUAUAGAUGGACCCGCGCCGUAUUAGCUAGUUGGUAAGGUAAUGGCUUACCAAGGCGACGAUACGUAGCCGACCUGAGAGGGUGAUCGGCCACACUGGAACUGAGACACGGUCCAGACUCCUACGGGAGGCAGCAGUAGGGAAUCUUCCGCAAUGGGCGAAAGCCUGACGGAGCAACGCCGCGUGAGUGAUGAAGGUCUUAGGAUCGUAAAACUCUGUUGUUAGGGAAGAACAAAUUUGUUAGUAACUGAACAAGUCUUGACGGUACCUAACCAGAAAGCCACGGCUAACUACGUGCCAGCAGCCGCGGUAAUACGUAGGUGGCAAGCGUUAUCCGGAAUUAUUGGGCGUAAAGCGCGCGUAGGCGGUUUCUUAAGUCUGAUGUGAAAGUCCACGGCUCAACCGUGGAAGGUCAUUGGAAACUGGGGAACUUGAGUGCAGAAGAGGAGAGUGGAAUUCCAUGUGUAGCGGUGAAAUGCGCAGAGAUAUGGAGGAACACCAGUGGCGAAGGCGGCUCUCUGGUCUGUAACUGACGCUGAUGUGCGAAAGCGUGGGGAUCAAACAGGAUUAGAUACCCUGGUAGUCCACGCCGUAAACGAUGAGUGCUAAGUGUUAGGGGGUUUCCGCCC